This 3526-nucleotide long non-coding RNA is filed under the name Homo sapiens (human). Its description in RNAcentral is "HSALNT0092075". The record is from RNAcentral. Lineage: Eukaryota; Metazoa; Chordata; Mammalia; Primates; Hominidae.
CAUUUAUACCCUCUUUUAAAUUUACCUCCAAGAAAGCAAUUCUGUUCUUUCUUGCACCUCUAAUUUCUUUCCACUGUAUCCUUUCUUUUUAAUUCCAUAAAUGAGUAUGAAGUUUGUCAUGGAUGUUCUGUGUGGCCCUAGGACAAAAUCUAUCAGAAACUGUAUUGCAUGAAGAUGGCUGGCAGCUGAGUCCUUUAGAAAUGCCUUUUGCUGAAGGGAGUUGGGCCAUCAAAGAUGUAAUGAUACAUCCCUGGGAGAGGUCAGGGUCCAAUGACGGUUUAAUGUGAGGUUUGAGAUGCCCAGCCCCCUUGCAUGAUUCAGAACUUCUCUGUAGGGCCGUCUCCAUUUCAUAAGCCCUGUGUGAUUGGCUGAAGUUUCUGUUCCUACUGUAACCAAUUCCUCCCUUCUCCUUUUCCAAUUCAGCUUCUUGUGUUUCCUCAUAGAUACUGCGACUGAAAACGACCCAAUGCCUUUCCUGCAUAAAAAUGUCUGUCUCUUAGUCUACUUUGCAGGCAAAAUGACAAAGGGAUUAUUCAAAGCUUUGUUCUAGAUGUUACUUGGGAGGCUGAGGCAGGAGAAUCGCUUGAAUCUGGGAGGCUGAGGUUGCAGUGAGCCAAGAUCCUGCCACUGAACUCCAGCCUGGGUCACAGAGUGAGACUCCAUCUCAAAAAAAAAAAACCAGAAAGCAAAACAACAACAACAACAACAACAACAACAACAACAAAAAACUUAAGCUUUAGAAAAUGUUGUAAUAGAGAUUUUAUGGAGGGUAAUAUGGUUAACAUUUCUCUACUUCCUUAGUGAUGGAGAAUCAAGAGUUUCUUACCUACCUAUUCUCUAUCUACCUCUCAGUUUUGAAUCCUUCACUUGUUUACUCUGCAUCAUAUCUAGCACUCUGCCAGUCUGUUUUAUAUCCCUACCCCUCUUGAACCUUGAUAGCUAAACUUAAGCAUCAUGUAGUCUACAACUAAUCCAGACUUAUUCUCUCUGUGAAAUAGGUUCUAGCAUCUAUCACCAUUUCAGUAAAGGGCAAAUGAAAGAAUUGUAAACACACCCUCACAUUCUAAGUCUUCCAUCCACUGAGCAACAGGAAUUUCUUAAUUUAUACUCCAUAUGGUGGCCAAGGACUGAUUUAUUAUUAUGUGAGUAAUUCACACCAGGUAUUCAUGACCAGGUAAAUCUACACUCCUCAUAAUUCUGUGGUUUCCCUGUUGUUUGAAAUAGUCUGUAAAGUUGUUUAUUCUUCCCUGUGUCCUUCGUUUUGUGCUUUUUUUUAUUCAAUUACUUAUUACUUAUCUAUCCUAUUUUUCUUUCCCCUCCCACCCCAAACUCUGACAACUACUGACCUGUUCAUCAUUCCUGCAGUUUCUCCUUUUCUAGAAUGUCAAAUAAAUACAAUCUUAAAAUAUGUAACCUUUGAGACUGGCUUCUGUUACAGCACAAUGCAUUUGCAAUUCAUCUAUGUUGUUGUGUGUGUCAGUAGUUGAUUACAUUUUAUUGUUCAGUAAUACUCCCUUGUUUGUAUAGGCUAAGUUUGUCUAUUCCAUCACCUAUGCAUUUGAAUUAAUGCCAGUUUGAGUUAUCCUGGCAUAAACAUUCUUAUAUAGAUUUUGGGGUGAAAGUAACUUUUCAUUUCUCUAAAAUAAACAUGUAGAAAUGGGAUUGUUGAGUCAGAUGGUAAUUACAUGUUUAACUUUUUAAGAAACAGACUGCCUUAGAUUCUUUAGUGUUGCUGUAAUAGCAUAUCAUAGACUGGGUAAUUUUAAAGAGGGUAAAUUUAUUUCUUAUAGUACUGGAGACUGGAAAGUCCAAGAUCAAAUGGCACACAUCUGGAUAAGGCCUUCUUACUGCACCAUUUCAUGGAUGGGAGCAGAAAGGCAAGAAAACAUAGAAGUGGGGUCACUUUUUUGUCUGGUAGCUUUACUUUUAAAUUUUUGAAGAACCUCCAUCUGUUUGUAUUAGUUCAUUUUGUGUUGCUGUAAAGGAAUACCUGAGGCUAGGAAAUGUAUAAAGAAAAGAAUUUUAUUUGGCUCAUAGUUCUGCAUGUGCUGUACAAUCAUGGCACCAGUAUCUGCUUGGCUUCUGGUGAGGCCUCAGGAAGCUUUUACUCAUAGCAGAAGGGAAGGGAUCCAGCAUGUCACAUGGUGAAGAAGGGAGCAAGCAAGAGAGAGAAAGUGCCAAGCUCUUUUAAACAACCAGCUCUCGCACGAGCUAACAGAGUAAGGACUUACUUAUUCCUGUGAAGACAACACCAAGUCAUUCGUGAAGGAUCCAUGUCUAUGACCCAAACAUCUCGCAUUAGGCCUACCUGCAACAUUGGAGGUCACAUUUCAACAGAAUAUCAGUGUUUUCACAAUGCCUAUAUUACUGCUGAGUUUUAGGAGUUCUUUCUGUAUAUCUUUCUGGAUACAAGUUUUUCAUUGAUGUUAUGCUUGAUAAAGCAAACAAGGUCUGAGGGCAAAGACUAGAGUAAAUACCUAAUGCCUUGAUGCACAGACAUUGAUGAAUGUUCACAAGCAUCAAGAAUAUGAAAGGCAUUAUGACUUCAUGAAACAAACUAAAUAAGGUGCCAGUGACUAACUUUAAAUAGAGGGAUAUGUGUGACCUCUCAGACAGAUAAUUCAAAAUUACUGCUUUGAGGAACUCAACCGACUUUAGGAAAAUACAGAGAAGGAAUUCAAAAUUUUAUCAGAGAAACUUGACAAAGAGGUUGAAAAAAAUCAAAUGGAAGUCCUGGAGCUGAAGAUGCAUUUGAGGUUCUCAACAGCAAAAUUGAUCAAGCAGAAGAAAAAACAUCAGUGAGCUCAAAGACAGCUAUUUAGAAAUAUCAAAAAGUCAGAGAAAAAAAAAAGAAUGAAAUUCUAUGGCCAGGUGCAGUGGCUCAUGCCUGUAAUCCCAGCACUUUGGGAGACUGAGAGCGGAGGAUCACUUGAGCUCAGGAGUUCAAGAACAACUGGGGCAACGUGGCAAAAACCCAUCUCUACAAAAAAUACAAAAGGUAGCCAGACAUGGAGAUGCACACCUGUAGUCACAGCUACUCAGGAGGCUUAGGCAGGAGAAUCACUUGGGCUUGGAAGAUCAAGGCCACAGUGAGUUAUGAUCGAGCCACUGCACUCCAGCAUGGGUAACUAAGCAAAUAUCCUGUCUCACAACAACAACAACAACAAAGGAAUGGAAUCCUGUCAUUCACAAUGUGGAUGGAACUGGAGGACAUUAAGUGAAAUAAACUAUGAACAGAAAGUUAAACACCACAUGUGAUAUGGUUUGGCUCUGUGUCACCACCCAAAUUUCAUCUCGAACUGUAAUCCCCACAUGUUGAGGGAGGGACCUGGUGGGAAGUGAUUGGAUCAUAGGGGUGGUUUCACUCAUGCUGUUCUUGUGAUAGUGAGUUCUCAUGAGUUCUGAUGAUUUAAAAGUGUUUGGCAGUUCCUCUCCUCUCUCUUGCCUGCUGCCAUGUAAGAUGUGCCUUGCUUCCCUUUUGCCUCCUGCCAUGAUUGUAAGUUUCCUGAGGUCUCCCCAGCCAUGU